CUUACUUCAUGAGGGCUGGUGGGUGGGUUGAGAAGUGGGUCAGAAGUGGAUGUUUGUGGGUGCAAGUGAUUUACGUUUCUCUGAUGACUGCUGAUGUGCAGCAUCUUUCCACAUGUGUACUGGCCGUCCUGAUGUCUUAUUUGGAGGAAUGUCUACUUAAGUCCUUUUUCCAGUUUUGAACUGUAUUGUUGGCUUUUUUGUUGUUGAAUUGUAGGAGUUCCUUAUAUACUGUUGAAGGCUUAUUAUGUUUUAAAGAUUUUAUUUAUUUAUUUUAGAGACAGAGAGAAACAGAGAGAGAGAGAGCACGAGUGAACGGGGGAGGGGCAGAGGGAGAGGGGCAAGCAGACUGCGCUGAGCACAGAGCCCAACGUGGGGCUCGAUCUCACAACCCUGAGAUCAUGACCUGAGCUGAGAUCGAGAGUUGGAUGCUUAACUGACGGAGCCAGCCAGGCACCCCAAAGGCUUAUUUUUAUGGUCCAGUAAUUCUAGUUUUGGGCAUUGUAUGACCAUAUACCAGUAUUUCUGGCCACAGCCACUGGCAAGGGUAAAGCAUGUCCUCAUUUGGUGACUUGGCCAGUGUUUCUAGACUCAUUAACUUGAGAUCAUCUUUUAAAAUGACAGAAAUUUUAUUUUUCUUUUUACAACAGGUUGAAAAAAACCAGUGAAAUCUCUGGCUUUCAUGUUUCCAGGGCCAAGUAUUACCGUGGAGUAGAGUAUUAAAGCACAGUGAGAAAUCCCUGGGUGAGCAGAGGUUACUUCUCAAAGUCCGGACCCUGUGUGAUGGCAGAGUAGGGUCAUAAAUGGCAACAUUGUAUUGUGUACUUGAUAAGUCUGAUAAGCAUUUUUUUUUUAAAGAUUUUAUUUAUUUAUUUGAGAGAAAGAGUGAGAGAGAGAGCACAAGAGGGGGGAGCAGGAGAGGGAGAAGCAGACUCCCCGCCAAGCAGGUAGCCCGAUGCGGGACUCGAUCCCGGGACUCCAGGAUCAUGACCUGAGCCGAAGGCAGUCGCUUAACCAACUGAGCCGCCCAGGCGCCCCAAGUCUGAUAAGCAUUUGCUGGAAGCCAGGAGAAACCCACAGUAAGAUCAACUGGUAGUCAUCAAAACCGCAGCUGUUUGCCGAAGGGCAAAGCAGUGUUAGCAAAGGGACUGACAUUUGGACCUGCUCUCAGGGCAGUGGGCUUGCAAAGAAAGCCAGAGCACAGAGGGGACCGAGAAGGCCACUUGCCCUGAAAUUGGUAGGGAAUCAAGUUCUGUGUGGCGUUGAGGGCGAAUCGUGCAGCCUGACGCCCAUGCUGACAUCCCUUCUCAAGAGCUUAUCAAACCUCUCCAGGAUCGAGGCAGAGGAGGAAGCCCUAGAUGCUGAUUCAGAAACCCCCCUGUUGAGCCUCGAUUGGUUCUUGAAGAUUUUGAAACAUUCACUUAUGAAAGGAAUUUUCCAUGAUGACUUUCCUCCCUGUGAUCCACCCUGAGGUUCUUGUAGACCAAACUUUGCAUGACUUUUCUGCAGGUGGCUGCUGGAUGCCAAACAAUAGGAAGGACAUUUAUAAUUAGUCCAAUUAUCUCUAACAUUCUUGUCUGAGUACUGCCCUGGGAUGACCCACAGAGGUUUGUGUAAAGUAUUCUUAUUCUUAUUCUUACUAUUAUUUUAAGUAGGCUGUACACCCAGCAUGCAGCCCAACGUGGGGCUUGAUCCCACGACCCUGAGAUCAAGACCUGAGCUGAGAUCAAGAGUCAGACACUGACUGAUGGAGCCACCCAGGCGCCCAAGGUUUGUGUAAAUUCAAACAGAAACUACAGGCAAGUAUUUUGCCAAGACCUUCCUUGCAGACUCCUCAUCCCGGUUCUGGGAGAAAGCAUGACCAAAGUGGGAAACAAAUGCGCCCAAAGAGGGAGCAGCCAUGAUCUGACAGGGAGAUCCAGACCCUCUAGCACCUGUAUGCAUGCAGUGGAGAUUCAGGCCCAGCAGGGGCAUCGGAGGCCUCUUCCCCCAGCCGCUGGUGGAGGGUGGAGGGGGCUUGCCAAGGAGGACAAAGGGGCUGUGGUUGGUGCCCUCGAAGCAGACUGUGGUGCUGAGCUUUAUAAGACAGAUUCAAAGGGGACCAUUCCUAUAGGGACAGGGGACCCAUUGGACCUGGUCACACAAUGUUGUGUUCUUUUAUUAGCAAAGAUGUAUUGAUGUGUGCCAGGUGGUCUGUUGGGCCCCCCAGCCACGGGAUGAAAAUCUGUGGAGAAGUAAGCCGAGUGUUCUCUUUGGGUCACCUGGCCACAGGCCACAGAAGCGUUAGCCCAGUUUCCCACCAGGUGGCCAGGGUGUCCACUUAACUCCCGGAAUGGUGGCCCAGAAACUCAGACUUCGAUGCCUUAGCCCGGGCCAUUUAAUCUCUGGAUUUUAUAAUCACCAGGAUGAGACACGGGAAGUGCAGACGGUGCCGCCAUGCUGGCUGGAGCCCAGCCUAGGGCAUGGGUACGCAGAGGGCCUGUGGUGGGUUCUGUCUCAGGGUUGAGGAGCUGCUUCCUACCGGUGGGACCUUCUGAGGCGGCCCCUAGGAUGAUGGUGGGUGCGUGAGCCACACCCAGAGUGUGAAGGAACUGUGAGCUGUGGGGACAAGAGAAGCAGGCAGGGGCAGACAGAGGAGGACCGGUGUGCAGGGCUGAGGGUCUGGUGCUACCCCAUUGAGGACAGAGCCUCAGGAGAUAGUUAAUGGUGAGGCUGUGGGAGACUGGAAUUUCCCAAGGUUUUCUAGAGGUGGAGGCAAGACAGGCCUUCCCCGUCUGAGUGGAAAGCCCUGGAGAGGAGAUUGUGGGGCUUGUGUGUUCUGAGGAGAACCCUGCAGGCUGACGCCUAUCUCCGCCAUCCGCAGCCCCUCCCAGGCCAACACGGGUGAGGCUCAGAUUGCUUGCCAACAGUCAUCUGACAGUAUUUAACGUCCUCAUGGCACUGGCUAUUGUGGUUGUGUCCUGGGGUCUGGGGCCCAGUGGAGAAGCCAUGGGGGUGUAGAGGGGAGAGCCUGGGUCUGUGUUUGCCCACCCAAGGGGGUCUUCCUGGUAUGCAUCUGAAGUUCUGUGCUCCCCCGUUGCUCUCUGGACCUGAAGGAUGACUCGAGGACGGCCCUCAGUGUCACCUGGGUGAGCCCUCUGUUCAGAGUGAGUCCGCAUGUGGAUAUUCUGAGCCGGCCAACUGGCUCAUGAAGUUUCUGCAAGAAAGUUCUCUGGAAAAUUUGGCAGUUCUGAGGGUAUGUUUACCCUAUCCACUAAAACCCUUUCCAAAACCAUCAACUCCAGAUUUUGUGAAGGAAUUACAAAAGGUCCUGACCACAGAAUGUUAGCUCAAGAGCGUUUAGCGGUUUGGUCUCACUUGCUGAUUUUCCUAGUGAAGAUACUGAAGCCAGACUGUGGGUAAGUCCGAGGGCAUGGCGCCAUCUGCAAGGAGGUCACCCCCAGCACUGGGUCCCACCACACCAGCUGUCCAUGGGAUUUCCAACUGCCCAGGAUGUAGGCAAAUUUCUGGUUCCAGAGUUCUGCACCAAGAUAUUGACGGCCUUCUUGUUUAUACUAAUGAAAACUUGGGAGAAUCUAAGGGUCCCUCAGUAAGGAGAGAGUGAAGUAAAAGCUGGGGUGAUCCUUCUAAGGGGCAUGAGGCAGGCUCUGAAGUCCACGGAACUCUUCAGGGAUGAGAGUCCCUUUGUUUUUCUGGCUAGAGACAUAUCCUUAGUGCCCAACACAGGGUCUGGCACUUGAGAGAUGCUACUAAGUAUUUAUUCCAGAUUAAUGCUGGGAUAAAGAGUCUGCAUGGAGAAUCUUUUCAGAACCCAAAGCUUGAAGUGGCAAAUGUAAAAGGGACUGAUGUAGCCUGGACCAGAGCCCUGGUGGCAUAGACCCAUUCCCCAAAACCAUCCUGGAAGGAGCCAAGAGAAGUUGGAAGAGGAAAGGGCCUCGGAGUGGAUGUCCCCAUGGGGGAGGUUGUUUCCUCAUCACGCUUGUCUCUUUAGCAUCUGAGCUGCUCCCAGGCCAUACAACUGACCCACGCCCACUUCAGAGCACACGGGGCCCUGUCAGCUGCGGGGGCCUGAUCUCCAGGUGUCCCCAGGGGUUCAGGCUGCUGGAGCAUAUAUUGUGCUUUCAGCUACCGUCAAUGUCUUCUCAGCACCACCCCAACCACAGGCUCACUGGUCAGCAUGACCAGCAGCAUUUUCCUCCCCAUACCUGCUCCGGACUGCCUGGGCAUCUUCUGUGAUGUAUUUCCCUCCCUAUGGUAGGCUUUCUUGAUGGCAACUCAAUUUCAUUAAGAUGCUAAUGUUGGAAGUAGAAGGCGUGAGCACAGGGCUCAGUCCCAGAGGGAAGACAGGUUUGUUAGGAAAGUGUAAAGUGCUGGCCCCACUGGGAGCUGUUCCUGAGGUGCAGGGCAGAAAGCAGCUCUGGCCAGAUACAGAAAGGUUCUUGGUUCCCCAUAAGCUGGCGUCACUCUCAGGAUUGUCCCACCCUAUCCUAUUAAGACAGAGCUCAGAUUGCAUAUGUCCUCUGAGUGAAGCCUGGGUUUUAAUCACUCAGGGAAUGUGUCCACACAAAUGCCCAUGCAGCUGAAACUUUAAUGUGCUUCUUUAAUUAAAAAUUAAUGUCACAAGCUUAAUUAAGUGUUCAUAAUGAAUACGCAAUUAGAAAAUCUCUUGAGGCAUUUGGGGACCCCUUGCCCCACAUUUCAUGCUCUGGUACUUUCUGGUACAUACUCUGAGAGAUGUAAAGCAAGUUACUCAGAGUUUAGGGCUAACUAACAUUUUUCUGUGGAGCAUUCAACUGCUCCAGUCAUUUCAGAAAUGACAUCUUGCUGUUUAGUAAACAAAUAUUUAUUGAGUUUUCUCAAGAAGAAAUAUAAUUAUACUUGAAUUAUGGUCUUUGUUAAGUGGUUUAACUAGGCUUAAGCUCAGUAGAUGACAGUUCAAAACUGAGUGCUAGUAAUAUUCUAAGGAAUUAUUUGGAUUGUGAUUUGGGAAAGAGACUUUACCUUUGGUUCAAAAGGCAGCUUAGAAAUGUACAUGUUGGUUUUUGUAGAAGGGAGGAAGAAGAGGAUUAUUCUAUCCAUCCAUCAUCCACCCACCAAUCAUCCAUCAUCCACCCCUCCAUCUAUCCACCCAUCAUCCAUCUAUCUAUCAUCCAUCUAUCAUCCAUCAUUAUCAUCUAUCUAUCUAUUAUCUAUCUAUCUAUCUAUCUAUCUAUCUAUCUAUCUAUCUAUCUAUCAUCUAUCAUCCAUCCAUUAUCCAUCCAUCAUCAUCUAUCCAUCAUCCACCCAUCCAUCCAUCUAUCCAUCCAUCCAUCAUCCAUCAUCCAUCCAUCAUCCAUCUAUCUAUCAUCCAUCCAUUAUCCACCCAUCCAUCUAUCCAUUCAUCCAUCAUCCAACUAUCAUCCAACUAUCAUCCAUCUAUCAUCCAUCCAUCAUCCAUCCAUCUAUCCAUCAUCUAUCUCUUCAUCCCAUCCCCUUCCCCUUUUUCUCACCUAAACUCCAUACUUAAAUUUUCUAUUGUUUGAAUCCAUUAUCUUCUUUGGUAAUGGAUUCUCGCUCUAAAAUUCCUGGUCUCAAUGAAUGACACCACUAUCCACCCAGCUGUCCAAAGUCAAGACUUUUUUUUUAAAGAUUUCUUAUUUAUUUAUCUGAGAGAGAGAAUGGGAGACAGAGAGCAUGAGAGGGGGAGGAUCAGAGGGAGAAGCAGACUCCCCGCUGAGCAGGGAGCCCAAUGCGGGACUCGAUCCCGGGACUCCAGGAUCAUGACCUGAGCCGAAGGCAGUUGCUUAACCAACUGAGCCACCCAGGCGCCCCAAAGUCAAGAUUAAGAAAUCAUUUUGGACUACUUCUGCUUAACAUUCACAAGUCCUGUUGAUUCUACCUUUCACACUCUUUUGAAUCUGUCUCCUCAUCUCCACCAACCCAGUUGGGGCCCUUCUCAUUUGUCCUACAGAUUCCCAAAGGAACAUUAGAUUAUGUUACUUUCCUUGCUUAAAAUCUCCAGUGGUUUUCAGCAUAAAAUCCAGACUGCUUGGCUUGUAAAGCAAGUGGCCUCAUGAAUGAAUCCUAUGUAUAUUUAUAGCUUCCUUCUUCACCAUCUGCCACGUGCCUCCUAUGAUCCAUUCAUUCAACAUUCAACAGUAUUUUUCGAACCGCUGCUAAUAGUGAAGUACUCUACAAUGAACAGGAGUGAAUAAGACAAUCGCUGCCCUUGAAGAUGUUGUGGUUUAGAGGUUGAACCAUUUGUGGAUCCCUUGAGGUCUUCUACUGCACCAUCAGCCUGGAAGUGCUCCUGGGACCCCUCUUCCACCUCCUUCAUCUGGAAAGCCCCUUCUUGUGUUUCCAGUUGUCUCAAGUCUCAAGUUGUUGCCUCUGGAAUCUUCCCUCUCACACCUGCGGUUCCUCUGGUCUCCUACAACCACAUGCACAUUCAUGUUCCACAGUAUGUACAUGUAAUUUCUACACCCAGUGUGGAGCUCAAACUCACAGCCCUGAGAUCAAGAGUCGCAUGCUCCCCCUAAUGAGCCAGCCAGAGACCUCUAAACCAGCUAAUUUUAUGAAAGCCACUUGAGGAUAUAAGCAAAGAACACAAGGUAGAAAAUCCAGAGGAAAGAAGACAUGAAAUAUCCGGCCUGGAGACAGGCCUGAUGGCACACCCGGAUCCUGGGACUCCGAGGGGUGGGCAGGGGCGCCCUGGGGAGGAGAUCGGGGGAGGAGAAAAAGCUCCCCGGAUUUAUUGGACUGCUCAACAUAGUGGAGCUUGCAGAGAGAACUAUGAAUACACAGGCCUGGACAGAGCGAGAGAAAGAAAGGCGAUGUCGAAGCCCCCAGCCACGGAGACUAACCCUAACGCUACUCAGCUCUGUGACGACUCUGAUCAUGUUCAUUAAAGUCACGAUUUAACGUCAGUGGGAGGUGUACCAAAGCCCAAUCUUCUCACCCAAACAGAAAGUCAGUAUCCACUAUCGGUCAGUCAAGAAGUCCUGUUUGAAGACCAUCAUCCAGAAACGUGGUAGCUCCUAGGAUCCCGGGCGAGGCUUGCCAGUGUCCGCUCCAGGGACCAGCAGAGAAGGGUCUUUUGUUGUGUGUGGUUCACAGCACUAUUUGAUAUUUUUGAUCAUGUGUGUUUCGUAUUGGUCGCCAUAACUUGGAUGCUAUGGUCCGUUGGUACUUUGUCUUCGGUUCUGCAAGCCUGGCAGCAGCGUCCGCUCACAGUCCGUGGCACCUAACUGAAGCCCGCGGUUCCCAGGUGCCGUGGCUGGCCUUUUCCCAACCCUGUGUCCCUGCAGUGGGGAAACCGCAGCUGGCUCUGGGAGCCUGUGGCCUGGGCGCCUUGGACAGGCACCCCUGAGCUCCUGCGUCUCCCGGGAGGACCGUCACAGGGCCUCCACCGGAAAGCAGAGCCCUUUGACCCCAGCACCUGCUUCUCCAGUGAAGCUGCACUUGAACCCCAUGCCGACUCAGGCCGCCGCACUCUUGCUGUCUGCUACAUCCAUUGUCUUGCUCACAGGGAGAUGGCCAAGCGCGCCGCCUCGUUCAGCUCCCGGCUGUGUCACUUGCUGACUGGACACUCUUGGGCGAGUUGCCUGCCCUCCCUGACUUUGGUUUCUUUGCUGUAAAAUGGGGUAAUAACAGCACCUACAGACAGGCUACGGGAUGAUGAGUGUCUUUCCUGGUACAUAGAUGCCCUCGGUACUUCCUCAUCCAAGAAUAUGAGAACAUGUCUCUGUUCUGAAUCUCCCCCGUCCUGGAAUAUUCCACCAGACACCCAGGUUAUGGCUCUUGGAGGACAGUCUGCUGAUGGAGAGAUGGAGCAAAAGCAGAACUCCAGGCCAUGGGAGAAGGGGGAGACCAAGCCCCAGGGAAGGCCCAUAACCUGCGAGUUGGUGUAGCUCAUGCUCACUCUGGCCAACAGAGGGGAGUUUUUCUCCUGAAAAUUAAUUUCCUCUCAUCUCCUGAAUGGUUUGUAUCUGUACCUUGAAUGAAGGUUUGAAAUGUCUUUGGAAUAACUGAGGCAGGCACAGCUAGGAAUGUCUGUCUGGCAAUGUUUUCACUGCUGGUUUCCAGCGUACGCACUGUCUCCGGUAGGAAGCUGGGAGAGGGCGCUUGCAAUGUCUCCAUUAUUCGCCCCCCAGUGAGGCUCUGAAGCCCCUCCCAGCAAGGGCAGAGACCAACCCUCGCCUCUGAAUCCUAGCUGGUUUUGGCAAUAGGAUGUGGAGCGCGUGGAACCCUCAGACGUGCCAGUCCUCGGCCAACCCAGCAGGUGCCCACGGUGCGUGAGCAAGCCGGACUGAAGCCACAGGAAUGCCAGGGGAGUCAGCCCACGCUGCCAGUGCGCAGAAACGCACCCUAUGGACUCCAUUAUGUAAGCCACUGGGUUGAGGGUGGUGUGUUACCAGUAGUAGAUAACUGGUAGACCCCAAGAGCCCUUUAUGAGGCACAACGUUCAUGGUGGGAACUUGGUACCUGAGUUUGGGGCCAUGAUCCAGCUGUGUACAUAAAACAGAAGAGCUUUGGACCCUGCUCAUGCUGCAUUUUAGAGAACUAUGUCAGAGAGCUGUACUCCUGCUGGCCAUUUUAACCUGGUCUUCAACUGGUCAUCUCUCUGCAUUUGGCUCCAGGCAAACAAUGCAUGCAUUUUGCUUGGUUCCCUUUUGUGAACGCUGCUUCCCCCACCUAAGGUGCUGAGCCCCUCUGCCUGGUGUCCCCCAAUCCCAGCUCUGCUGUAGGACCUGGUUCAGUUCCCAUCCCUCACAUGCAUCUUCUCCAAAUUCUGUCCCCCGCACCAACAGUCAUGAAGUCGGUCUUCUCAUAUGUGGGGUGUUCUGUGUCACUCUCUGCUCGGCUGCAGCUACAAAUGCAAAUCUUCCUCGCAACCGGACAGUAAGCUUCUUUCUCGUUUCCGAAGACUUAAGGAUGCCAGCAACUUGCGCCAGGAUUGCUCGACCUCAUUUUAAAGGCAGAGGUAUGGACCCAGCACUCACCCUGUGUCUUCUAAGGAGAGCCGGGCUGCAGUCCACGCCCCUGUGCAGACGGUGGGGAUGCCUGCAGAAAGACACCUGGUUACCACAACCUGCGCUGCUUAACUGGGACAGCACACAGACUCACGUGUGCACCCUCGUUCACCAGGGUCAGCAAGGACAGGGGCUUUCUGAUGGAAGGACCCAGUGGAAAUGCUUCGUAAACACACGGAAGUUUAUGCUCAUGCCUUACAAAGCACUGAAGAUAAACGUGUGCGGGAAAGCUAAAGCUUCACAGGUCUGCAAGGCGUCACCGUGCAUUUUGAGUGUUGUUACCACAGUGUGGGAGCAUGGCAAUUACAGUAAGGGGUGCUCCUCACUGUGAACCUGGGGGGCCCACUGCUUAUGCCCCUCCCAAUUCUGGCUAUCGAAGGUCCUGCUAACUGGCGGGGAAGCCCUUCUCCUCCAUGCCACUUCUUUCUGACUUUCCCACCACAGGGUAUGCCCCAGGAACGGGACUUUAUAGCAGUUUUAAACCAGGUUCCUGGUUCCUAGAAAUAUGAGGGUGCUGCCUAUAGGAAACUCUAGUCAUGCUAGAAAAGCUCUUCCUAAUAUGACCGGAAGUGCAUCCUACAGGGGUAGGAAAGAAUUUUUCUGAGCUGAAAGUUCUGCAUUUAUAGGUGAGGGGGUGGAAAUCAAGGACCUAGAGGGUUGGUGGGGUGGCUGAUGGGCAUCGGGCAUACACAGGGGA
This is a long non-coding RNA of Mirounga angustirostris (Northern elephant seal), 9705 nucleotides long. RefSeq lists it as uncharacterized. The transcript is spliced from 5 exons. NCBI's taxonomy places the organism in Eukaryota, Metazoa, Chordata, Mammalia, Carnivora, Phocidae. The record is from RefSeq and is a predicted model, not a curated record.